This 1376-nucleotide ribosomal RNA is filed under the name Microbacterium testaceum. RNAcentral describes it as "bacterial SSU rRNA". It matches the Rfam family "Bacterial small subunit ribosomal RNA". Lineage: Bacteria; Bacillati; Actinomycetota; Actinomycetes; Micrococcales; Microbacteriaceae. The record is from RNAcentral.
UGCAGUCGAACGGUGAAGCCAAGCUUGCUUGGUGGAUCAGUGGCGAACGGGUGAGUAACACGUGAGCAACCUGCCCUGGACUCUGGGAUAAGCGCUGGAAACGGCGUCUAAUACUGGAUAUGAGACGUGAUCGCAUGGUCGUGUUUGGAAAGAUUUUUCGGUCUGGGAUGGGCUCGCGGCCUAUCAGCUUGUUGGUGAGGUAAUGGCUCACCAAGGCGUCGACGGGUAGCCGGCCUGAGAGGGUGACCGGCCACACUGGGACUGAGACACGGCCCAGACUCCUACGGGAGGCAGCAGUGGGGAAUAUUGCACAAUGGGCGAAAGCCUGAUGCAGCAACGCCGCGUGAGGGAUGACGGCCUUCGGGUUGUAAACCUCUUUUAGCAGGGAAGAAGCGAAAGUGACGGUACCUGCAGAAAAAGCGCCGGCUAACUACGUGCCAGCAGCCGCGGUAAUACGUAGGGCGCAAGCGUUAUCCGGAAUUAUUGGGCGUAAAGAGCUCGUAGGCGGUUUGUCGCGUCUGCUGUGAAAUCCCGAGGCUCAACCUCGGGCCUGCAGUGGGUACGGGCAGACUAGAGUGCGGUAGGGGAGAUUGGAAUUCCUGGUGUAGCGGUGGAAUGCGCAGAUAUCAGGAGGAACACCGAUGGCGAAGGCAGAUCUCUGGGCCGUAACUGACGCUGAGGAGCGAAAGGGUGGGGAGCAAACAGGCUUAGAUACCCUGGUAGUCCACCCCGUAAACGUUGGGAACUAGUUGUGGGGACCAUUCCACGGUUUCCGUGACGCAGCUAACGCAUUAAGUUCCCCGCCUGGGGAGUACGGCCGCAAGGCUAAAACUCAAAGGAAUUGACGGGGACCCGCACAAGCGGCGGAGCAUGCGGAUUAAUUCGAUGCAACGCGAAGAACCUUACCAAGGCUUGACAUAUACGAGAACGGGCCAGAAAUGGUCAACUCUUUGGACACUCGUAAACAGGUGGUGCAUGGUUGUCGUCAGCUCGUGUCGUGAGAUGUUGGGUUAAGUCCCGCAACGAGCGCAACCCUCGUUCUAUGUUGCCAGCACGUAAUGGUGGGAACUCAUGGGAUACUGCCGGGGUCAACUCGGAGGAAGGUGGGGAUGACGUCAAAUCAUCAUGCCCCUUAUGUCUUGGGCUUCACGCAUGCUACAAUGGCCGGUACAAAGGGCUGCAAUACCGUGAGGUGGAGCGAAUCCCAAAAAGCCGGUCCCAGUUCGGAUUGAGGUCUGCAACUCGACCUCAUGAAGUCGGAGUCGCUAGUAAUCGCAGAUCAGCAACGCUGCGGUGAAUACGUUCCCGGGUCUUGUACACACCGCCCGUCAAGUCAUGAAAGUCGGUAACACCUGAAGCCGGUGGCCCAACCCUUG